AUAAUCUUGAAAUGAAGCAAAAAGUUAGAGAAACAAAGUGGACCAAAACAGUUGAUCUCUUUCUGAAAGAAGUUCUGGGUGAAGCAGUUGAAAUGCUGCAAGAACAUUUAUUAGCAAAAUCUGGUUUACAAAACUUAACAAGAAGAACAUCUUGAAUUUCAGUUCAUAAAGAUGUACACCAUGUAAUGUUUGCAGCUGAAAUGUGCCAAGUGCAAUCAUUUGCAAAAUCUGGUUUACAAAACUUCAAAAGAAAGAANUCNUUAAAUUCAAGUUCAUGAAGAUAAUUAUUGCUGCUGAAAUGUGCCAAUGCAAAAACAUUUAUUAGCAACAUCUGGUUUACAAAACUUGAAAAGAAGAACAUCUCAAAUUUCAGAUCAUUACACCAUCAGCCAAAAUGUGGCAAGAUUUGCAAAAUCUGGUUUACAGAACUUAAAAAGAAACUCCACCUCUAAUUUAAGUCCAAUCAUAAAGAUGUAAUACUCCAGUCAUGAGAUCUUAUUUGUGCAGUCUUAACUUAAAAACAUGCAAUAUAUUCUUUUAUUCAGCAGAGAACCUACAGUAAUGCAAAAACUCUGUGUAUAAAGAAGACAAUAUUAAACAACUUAUGCUUGAUUGAAGCUAAGCUUCCACAAANGAGAUUUUCGAAACUGGACUAUUCUUAAGAAAUAUAAUGUAAUCAUACAUUGACAAGUACUUUGUGUAUCACUAUGCUAUCAUAGAGUGAUCACAUUAAAGCAUGCAACUGUACAAAAUCUAAUUUUUAGUAUAUAUUUGUACCAAAAGUGGACUUGGAGCAAGACGGUAUUGAAUACUUCAUUUGUAUCAAUUCAAUUCAAUUUGUGUACUGCAUGCACGAUUUGCUCAAUAUAACUAAAUAGAACUAUUUAGUUUGUACAGUGGAAUGGAUUAAGUGUGAUCACUCUAACAGUGAGAGUUCUUCCAGUAAAAUAUAUGAUUUUGUGCUGUAUUUUAUGCUAAUUCUUAAUUGUUUUCUUUUGUUCAACUAGCACUAUUUUCCACAAUUAUUUUGUAAUUAAUGUUCAAAGCUUUACUGAAAGCUUGCAAAGGUGAUAACCCUGGUUCCAGAGGUUUGAUAUUU
Molecule: unclassified non-coding RNA, 1099 nt
Filed under: Exaiptasia diaphana
Lineage: Eukaryota; Metazoa; Cnidaria; Anthozoa; Actiniaria; Aiptasiidae
Description: uncharacterized LOC110248874, transcript variant X2
Source: RNAcentral